RNAcentral lists this ribosomal RNA (501 nucleotides) under uncultured bacterium. RNAcentral describes it as "partial 16S ribosomal RNA". It matches the Rfam family "Bacterial small subunit ribosomal RNA", at positions 30 to 523 of the family's 1533-position model. The record is from RNAcentral.
AUUGAACGCUGGCGGCAGGCUUAACACAUGCAAGUCGAGCGGAGAGAGGUAGCUUGCUACUGAUCUUAGUGGCGGACGGGUGAGUAAUGCUUAGGAAUCUGCCUAUUAGUGGGGGACAACAUUUCGAAAGGAAUGCUAAUACCGCAUACGUCCUACGGGAGAAAGCAGGGGAUCUUCGGACCUUGCGCUAAUAGAUGAGCCUAAGUCGGGUUAGCUAGUUGGUGGGGUAAAGGCCUACCAAGGCGACGAUCUGUAGCGGGUCUGAGAGGAUGAUCGGCCACACUGGGACUGGGAGACGGCCAAGACUCCUGAGGGAGGCAGCAGUGGGGAAUAUUGGACAAUGGGCGCAAGCCUGAUCUAGCCAUGCCGCGUGUGUGAAGAAGGCCUUAUGGUUGUAAAGCACUUUAAGCGAGGAGGAGGCUACUUUAGAUAAUACCUAGAGAUAGUGGACGUUACUCGCAGAAUAAGCACCGGCUAACUCUGUGCCAGCCGCCGCAGUAA